GCCGCCAUCGUCUAGGGGUUUAGGACAUCGCCCUCUCAAGGCGGAGAUCGGGGGUUCAAAUCCCCCUGGCGGCGCCA
RNAcentral lists this transfer RNA (77 nucleotides) under Elusimicrobia bacterium RIFOXYA12_FULL_49_49. Its description in RNAcentral is "tRNA-Glu". It matches the Rfam family "tRNA". From Rfam's summary of the family: Transfer RNA (tRNA) molecules are approximately 80 nucleotides in length. Their secondary structure includes four short double-helical elements and three loops (D, anti-codon, and T loops). Further hydrogen bonds mediate the characteristic L-shaped molecular structure. tRNAs have two regions of fundamental functional importance: the anti-codon, which is responsible for specific mRNA codon recognition, and the 3' end, to which the tRNAs corresponding amino acid is attached (by aminoacyl-tRNA synthetases). tRNAs cope with the degeneracy of the genetic code in two manners: having more than one tRNA (with a specific anti-codon) for a particular amino acid; and 'wobble' base-pairing, i.e. permitting non-standard base-pairing at the 3rd anti-codon position. The record is from RNAcentral. Lineage: Bacteria; Pseudomonadati; Elusimicrobiota. RNAcentral also lists the same sequence under 4 other names.